UACAGAGGUCUCAAGCGUUGUUCGGAUUCAUUGGGCGUAAAGGGUGCGUAAGCGGCGCGGUAAGUCGGGUGUGAAAUCUUGGAGCUUAACUCCGAAACUGCAUUCGAUACUGCCGUGCUUGAGGACUGGAGAGGAGACUGGAAUUUACGGUGUAGCGGUGAAAUGCGUAGAUAUCGUAAGGAAGACCAGUGGCGAAGGCGGGUCUCUGGACAGUUCCUGACGCUGAGGCACGAAGGCCAGGGGAGCAAACGGG
RNAcentral lists this ribosomal RNA (253 nucleotides) under uncultured bacterium. RNAcentral's name for it is "partial 16S ribosomal RNA". It matches the Rfam family "Bacterial small subunit ribosomal RNA", at positions 524 to 776 of the family's 1533-position model. The record is from RNAcentral.